GACGAACGCUGGCGGCGUGCUUAACACAUGCAAGUCGAACGGAAAGGCCCUUCGGGGUACUCGAGUGGCGAACGGGUGAGUAACACGUGGGUGAUCUGCCCUGCACUUUGGGAUAAGCCUGGGAAACUGGGUCUAAUACCGAAUAGGACCACGCGCUUCAUGGUGUGUGGUGGAAAGCUUUUGCAGUGUGGGAUGGGCCCGCGGCCUAUCAGCUUGUUGGUGGGGUAAUGGCCUACCAAGGCGACGACGGGUAGCCGGCCUGAGAGGGUGACCGGCCACACUGGGACUGAGAUACGGCCCAGACUCCUACGGGAGGCAGCAGUGGGGAAUAUUGCACAAUGGGCGCAAGCCUGAUGCAGCGACGCCGCGUGAGGGAUGACGGCCUUCGGGUUGUAAACCUCUUUCACCAGGGACGAAGCGUAAGUGACGGUACCUGGAGAAGAAGCACCGGCCAACUACGUG
Molecule: ribosomal RNA, 462 nt
Filed under: uncultured bacterium
Lineage: Bacteria
Description: partial 16S ribosomal RNA
Rfam family: Bacterial small subunit ribosomal RNA
Source: RNAcentral